GAGGGUGUAGCUCAGAGGUAGAGCACAUGCUUAGCAUGCACGAGGUCCUGGGUUCAAUCCUCAGUACCUCUA
RNAcentral lists this transfer RNA (72 nucleotides) under Camelus bactrianus (Bactrian camel). It matches the Rfam family "tRNA". Rfam says of the family: Transfer RNA (tRNA) molecules are approximately 80 nucleotides in length. Their secondary structure includes four short double-helical elements and three loops (D, anti-codon, and T loops). Lineage: Eukaryota; Metazoa; Chordata; Mammalia; Artiodactyla; Camelidae. The record is from Rfam by way of RNAcentral. RNAcentral also lists the same sequence under 2 other names.